RNAcentral lists this ribosomal RNA (1435 nucleotides) under uncultured organism. RNAcentral's name for it is "SSU rRNA". It matches the Rfam family "Bacterial small subunit ribosomal RNA". The record is from RNAcentral.
ACGCUAGCUACAGGCUUAACACAUGCAAGUCGAGGGGCAUCAGGAAGAAAGCUUGCUUUCUUUGCUGGCGACCGGCGCACGGGUGAGUAACACGUAUCCAACCUGCCCUUUACUCGGGGAUAGCCUUUCGAAAGAAAGAUUAAUACCCGAUAGCAUAAUGAUUCCGCAUGGUUUCAUUAUUAAAGGAUUCCGGUAAAGGAUGGGGAUGCGUUCCAUUAGGUUGUUGGUGAGGUAACGGCCCACCAAGCCUUCGAUGGAUAGGGGUUCUGAGAGGAAGGUCCCCCACAUUGGAACUGAGACACGGUCCAAACUCCUACGGGAGGCAGCAGUGAGGAAUAUUGGUCAAUGGGCGCUAGCCUGAACCAGCCAAGUAGCGUGAAGGAUGAAGGCUCUAUGGGUCGUAAACUUCUUUUAUAUAAGAAUAAAGUGCAGUAUGUAUACUGUUUUGUAUGUAUUAUAUGAAUAAGGAUCGGCUAACUCCGUGCCAGCAGCCGCGGUAAUACGGAGGAUCCGAGCGUUAUCCGGAUUUAUUGGGUUUAAAGGGAGCGUAGGUGGACUGGUAAGUCAGUUGUGAAAGUUUGCGGCUCAACCGUAAAAUUGCAGUUGAUACUGUCAGUCUUGAGUACAGUAGAGGUGGGCGGAAUUCGUGGUGUAGCGGUGAAAUGCUUAGAUAUCACGAAGAACUCCGAUUGCGAAGGCAGCUCACUGGACUGCAACUGACACUGAUGCUCGAAAGUGUGGGUAUCAAACAGGAUUAGAUACCCUGGUAGUCCACACAGUAAACGAUGAAUACUCGCUGUUUGCGAUAUACAGUAAGCGGCCAAGCGAAAGCAUUAAGUAUUCCACCUGGGGAGUACGCCGGCAACGGUGAAACUCAAAGGAAUUGACGGGGGCCCGCACAAGCGGAGGAACAUGUGGUUUAAUUCGAUGAUACGCGAGGAACCUUACCCGGGCUUAAAUUGCAGUGGAAUGAUGUGGAAACAUGUCAGUGAGCAAUCACCGCUGUGAAGGUGCUGCAUGGUUGUCGUCAGCUCGUGCCGUGAGGUGUCGGCUUAAGUGCCAUAACGAGCGCAACCCUUAUCUUUAGUUACUAACAGGUUAUGCUGAGGACUCUAGAGAGACUGCCGUCGUAAGAUGUGAGGAAGGUGGGGAUGACGUCAAAUCAGCACGGCCCUUACGUCCGGGGCUACACACGUGUUACAAUGGGGGGUACAGAAGGCAGCUAGCGGGUGACCGUAUGCUAAUCCCAAAAUCCUCUCUCAGUUCGGAUCGAAGUCUGCAACCCGACUUCGUGAAGCUGGAUUCGCUAGUAAUCGCGCAUCAGCCACGGCGCGGUGAAUACGUUCCCGGGCCUUGUACACACCGCCCGUCAAGCCAUGGGAGCCGGGGGUACCUGAAGUACGUAACCGCAAGGAUCGUCCUAGGGUAAAACUGC